UGUUUCCAUUAUUUCAAUUAUUAUUUUGUUUGAGGAAUAAAAUCCUCAAUCCAUGUUUUGUCGGUUGUAAAAAUGUUCCGAAUAAAUCUAAAGAUAUUACAUAUAGAAAACGCGGCAUCCACCUUGUGGACACUUUUUCAAUCUAUAAUUCUUCGAUCAGAAGAGGUUUUUGCCGUGUUAUAGUUUUUAUAUGUCAAUGUGGUGGGCCUGACUUUUUUUUAUUUUAAUACGAUAAACAAAAAAAAAAAAUAUUGAUAGAGGCGUACCGAGUUUUGAGGAGACAAAGCAACUGGUUCCUUUUUUAUUAAAUCAGCACAUUUUUUCGACUGUUGUGGAAAUAAAUUCAAGUUUAACCCAAUACCAAAUGAUGUUAGUUCGUAAGCCACCUUGCAUUACUUGGUGAAGAGAUAAUAGCGAAAUCAAUGACAGUUGAAAGAAGAAAUUGGAGAGUUAGGAAAAUAAAAGAUGGGUGUUUGAUGAAAUUGAAAAGAAGAUGAAAAAAAAAAUCAAUUUAUAAAAAUUCAAGGGCUCGGCUUUAUUCAAAGAUAUACUUUAUGAAGAGGAACUUCAUACAUAAAUGCAAGUCAUUCGGAACUUCAAAAAAAUAUAUAAAAACACUUAAUAGCUGUGGAAAUUGACAGCCAGAGUUAUUUUUUUUUUUUUUUGCUUCUUCAACAAUUCAAUCGAAAACGUAACCUCUCUGUCGAAUAUAUGCUUAAUUAAAAGAAAUAAGUGUAUAAUUUAUUGAUUUGUUUAUACAUCAAUAUAAUUAAUGGCGUUGCGCGGUGAUGAUAUCGAAGCAGACUGACUAUACGCGACCCAUCAUAAUAAAUUAAGUUGUAAGGAAUACUGUAUAUUUAAAUUUUCAGUUGUUGUUUUUUUUUUGUAAUUACGUUUACACAUUUUUUAAAUGGUUUUGUCUAUUUUGCAAUUCAGUUUUGUUAUUAUCGUGAUGGAGAAAUUAGAAAAAAAAAAAAUAUAUAUUAACUCAUCAAUUUUGCACGUGUACAAAAAAUGUA
Long non-coding RNA from Episyrphus balteatus (marmalade hoverfly), 1019 nucleotides. RefSeq lists it as uncharacterized. The transcript has 3 exons. NCBI's taxonomy places the organism in Eukaryota, Metazoa, Arthropoda, Insecta, Diptera, Syrphidae. The record is from RefSeq and is a predicted model, not a curated record.